UACGGAGGGUGCAAGCGUUAUCCGGAAUCACUGGGUUUAAAGGGUGCGUAGGCGGCACUGUAAGUCAGGGGUGAAAGGCUACAGCUCAACUGUGGAAUUGCCUUUGAUACUGCGGUGCUAGAAUGAGAUUGAGGCAAGCGGAAUGUGGCAUGUAGCGGUGAAAUGCAUAGAUAUGCCAUAGAACACCAAUUGCGAAGGCAGCUUGCUAGAUCUUGAUUGACGCUGAGGAACGAAAGCGUGGGGAGCGAACAGG
Molecule: ribosomal RNA, 253 nt
Filed under: uncultured bacterium
Lineage: Bacteria
Description: partial 16S ribosomal RNA
Rfam family: Bacterial small subunit ribosomal RNA
Source: RNAcentral